RNAcentral lists this ribosomal RNA (429 nucleotides) under Bacteroidota bacterium. RNAcentral describes it as "Bacteroidetes bacterium partial 16S ribosomal RNA". It matches the Rfam family "Bacterial small subunit ribosomal RNA", at positions 355 to 776 of the family's 1533-position model. The record is from RNAcentral. Lineage: Bacteria; Pseudomonadati; Bacteroidota.
UAGGGAAUCUUCGGCAAUGGGGGGAACCCUGACCGAGCAACGCCGCGGGAGUGAAGAAGGUUUUCGGAUCGUAAAGCUCUUUUGUUAAGGAAGAACGAGUGUGAGAAUGGAAAGUUCAUGCUGUGACGGUACUUAACCAGAAAGGGACGGCUAACUACGUGCCAGCAGCCGCGGUAAUACGUAGGUCCCGAGCGUUGUCCGGAUUUAUUGGGCGUAAAGCGAGCGCAGGCGGUUAGAAAAGUCUGAAGUGAAAGGCAGUGGCUCAACCAUUGUAGGCUUUGGAAACUGUUUAACUUGAGUGCAGAAGGGGAGAGUGGAAUUCCAUGUGUAGCGGUGAAAUGCGUAGAUAUAUGGGGGAACACCGGUGGCGAAAGCGGCUCUCUGGUCUGUAACUGACGCUGAGGCUAGAAAGCGUGGGGAGCGAACAGG